CUGGUGUAGCCCCUGUCUGUGCUAUCGUCAGGCAGCACAGUCAUGCUGGCUGCCCACCGAUCUUUAAUGGAGUACUUGGAGCCACAGGAAAUGUGUCCCAGUUCCUCACAACGGUAGCAGGCACGAACAGCAAUGUGGUGGCCCUUCCAGUGAUGUCCUUCCUACUAAUCACGGAUUGGGCUGAGUCAUCCCCUUCCUGCAUGGGCUAGACUGCGUAUAAAGAGGUUUUGCUGCUUGUUGGCGACCCCCAUCUCUACCUCUGUACUGCAGGUUCUUUCUUUAUGUCGCGUAACAUUUCAGUAGCUGCUUGACAUUGUUCCACUGCGUCAACUAACUCGGUUGCAGUUUUGAUUUUCUGAUGGCUCACCACCUUUUUCAUUCCGUAAGGCAAGGCUCUUAGGUAUUUAUCCACUACUAUGGCUUCCAUGAUAUUAGUAGGGCUACUCCUGUCAGGUUCUAACCACUUCCUAGUAAUGCAAAUUAACUCAUACAUUUGUGCACGAGGCGAGACCCCAUUUUGGAAAACCCAGUUAUGAUGGCGUUGGGCCUGACUAAUCCGAGAAAAAACGUACCGGCUCAUGAUCUCACUCUUCAACUUAUCGUAGUCAUUGUUAAUGCUACCUUCUACAUCCUGGAAGGCUUGAAGUGCAUCACCUGAUAGAAAUGGAGCUAUAGCAGCCCUACCCACUGUGGCCGUGCUUCAAGUGUAUGUAGGUAUGCUUCAACAUCAUCAUAUGUUCCUAGUUUAGGAAUGAAAUCACCCACCUUGGGUUUGUAUUUGGCUGCUUGCACAAGUUCCCGUUGGCCCUGACUUGCUCCUUCAGCAACUGAGCAUUGGUUUCUUGAGCUCCCCUCUCUGUUUCCACCAACACUUUAAGCAGUUGCUCCAUCUUGUAGAGUGCAGUCACAAUUUCCAAAAUCCAAAAGAAGUUCAAAAGUUUUAAAAAAUCAAUCCUUACCCCCUUGAUCUCAAGGUGCCCGCAUUCUCCACCAUAUGUAAUGUUGGGAGGGGUUUUCUGAAUUCUGAGGCCGUAUAUCUAAUAAAGAACAAACUGUGAUAACAGAUUAGAUUGGAGCUUUUAUUUUGCUACAAUUCACUGUUUAGAGUAACUCAGAAAGGGUAAGAAAAAUACAAAAUCACAGAAGAAAACAUUUUAAAAUCUGGACCCAGUGGAUAGGCAGUGGGAACAUGGAAAAUAUCCUCACUAUGGCAGGAUCACCCUGAGAAGUGGAUGCAUGCUAAUAUGUUUUAUCCUGCUGUGUGUAUGGAUUCAUCUGCUAAUGAAUUCAUCUCUGCUUCUUUUCCGACCCCUUUCGCCACCUCCCACCCCUCCUUUUCUAUCUCUGGCCGGCGCCAAGCAGACAGGCCUUCUUUUAUAAGGGAUCUGCUCAAGGUUGGAUUCUGGGUUCUUCCUCAUAAAAGGGAGUUUUUCUGUAGCACCAUUAUCAUAGUCCUUGCUACGAGAUUCAGGCUACGUAAACAACCUUGAGACAUUAUUUUUACUGAUACCAAAUUUUUAACACUGAAUUGAAUUAGUAACUCGCAGACUAAAACUGCAUAUUCCUGUUGUCUGUUCACAUAGGCCUACUGCAUGCACUAUACCUGGUAAGGAUGUGUAACAACAGCCCCAUUAUUCUUGCUACUGCUCUCUGUACUGAAAAUACUGCAGUCUACUCUGAUUUAUUUAGUCCCCUCAGAAUACACACACACACACACACACAC
Long non-coding RNA from Alosa sapidissima (American shad), 1723 nucleotides. RefSeq lists it as uncharacterized. The record is from RefSeq and is a predicted model, not a curated record. NCBI's taxonomy places the organism in Eukaryota, Metazoa, Chordata, Actinopteri, Clupeiformes, Clupeidae. The transcript has 4 exons.